This 449-nucleotide ribosomal RNA is filed under the name uncultured bacterium. RNAcentral's name for it is "partial 16S ribosomal RNA". It matches the Rfam family "Bacterial small subunit ribosomal RNA", at positions 29 to 523 of the family's 1533-position model. The record is from RNAcentral.
AACGAACGCUGGCGGCAUGCCUAACACAUGCAAGUCGAACGAGACCUUCGGGUCUAGUGGCGCACGGGUGCGUAACGCGUGGGAAUCUGCCCUUCGGUUGGGAAUAACUGAGAGAAAUUUCAGCUAAUACCUUAUAAUGUCUUCGGACCAAAGAUUUAUCGCCGAGGGAUGAGCCCGCGUAGGAUUAGCUAGUUGGUGGGGUAAUGGCCUACCAAGGCGACGACCCUUAGCUGGUCUGAGAGGAUGAUCAGCCACACUGGGACUGAGACACGGCCCAGACUCCUACGGGAGGCAGCAGUGGGGAAUAUUGGACAAUGGGCGAAAGCCUGAUCCAGCAAUGCCGCGUGAGUGAUGAAGGCCUUAGGGUUGUAAAGCUCUUUUACCCGGGAUGAUAAUGACAGUACCGGGAGAAUAAGCUCCGGCUAACCCCGUGCCAGCAGCCGCCGUAA